This 210-nucleotide ribosomal RNA is filed under the name uncultured bacterium. Its description in RNAcentral is "partial 16S ribosomal RNA". It matches the Rfam family "Bacterial small subunit ribosomal RNA", at positions 524 to 730 of the family's 1533-position model. The record is from RNAcentral.
UACAGAGGGUGCAAGCGUUGUUCGGAAUUACUGGGCGUAAAGUGUGCGCAGGUGGCCGCGCAAGUCGAGUGUGAAAUCCCCGAGCUUAACUUGGGAAUUGCGCUCGAAACUACGUGGCUCGAGUGUGGCAGAGGAAGGUGGAAUUCCGACGUGUAGCGGUGAAAUGCGUAGAGAUGAUGGAGGAAGCACCGAUGGCGAAGGCAGCCUUCG